CAGUAGCCACGGUAAUACGUAGGGUGCAAGCGUUAAUCGGAAUUACUGGGCGUAAAGCGUGCGUAGGUGGUGGUUUAAGUCCGUUGUGAAAGCCCUGGGCUCAACCUGGGAAUUGCAGUGGAUACUGGGUCACUAGAGUGUGGUAGAGGAUAGUGGAAUUUCCGGUGUAGCAGUGAAAUGCGUAGAGAUCGGAAGGAACAUCUGUGGCGAAGGCGACUAUCUGGGCCAACACUGACACUGAGGCACGAAAGCGUGGGGAGCAAACAGGAUUAGAUACCCGAGUAGUCCCUGUCUCUUAUAC
This 301-nucleotide ribosomal RNA is filed under the name uncultured bacterium. RNAcentral's name for it is "partial 16S ribosomal RNA". It matches the Rfam family "Bacterial small subunit ribosomal RNA", at positions 509 to 807 of the family's 1533-position model. The record is from RNAcentral.